AUUGAACGCUGGCGGCAUGCCUUACACAUGCAAGUCGAACGGCAGCACGGGGCAACCUGGUGGCGAGUGGCGAACGGGUGAGUAAUGCAUCGGAACGUGCCAUUGAGUGGGGGAUAACGUAGCGAAAGUUGCGCUAAUACCGCAUAUUCUGUGAGCAGGAAAGCAGGGGACCGCAAGGCCUUGCGCUCUUUGAGCGGCCGAUGUCAGAUUAGCUAGUUGGUGAGGUAACGGCUUACCAAGGCGACGAUCUGUAGCGGGUCUGAGAGGAUGAUCCGCCACACUGGAACUGAGACACGGUCCAGACUCCUACGGGAGGCAGCAGUGGGAAUUUUGGACAAUGGGCGCAAGCCUGAUCCAGCCAUGCCGCGUGAGUGAAGAAGGCCUGG
This 386-nucleotide ribosomal RNA is filed under the name uncultured bacterium. Its description in RNAcentral is "bacterial SSU rRNA". It matches the Rfam family "Bacterial small subunit ribosomal RNA", at positions 30 to 419 of the family's 1533-position model. The record is from RNAcentral.